CAGGGAGACAACAAAAUGUUUAAUAUUAUUAUUUUGUCACCUUAGGUCGAUCGGUAUCUCACGUUCUUAAUUUAUUAAGAAUUUCAUUUCCUAAGUUUUUCUAGGUCACACCCAUUAUUUUUCCUGGGCCAUUAGCUCAGGUGGUUAGAGCGCACCCCUGAUAAGGGUGAGGUCCCUGGUUCAAGUCCAGGAUGGCCCAUAUCUCUAUGUUGGGGGUAUAGCUCAGUUGGUAGAGCGCCUGCUUUGCAAGCAGGAUGUCAGCGGUUCGAGUCCGCUUACCUCCACUGAUUACCACCUCUUCCAUAAUCUGUAGAAAGGAAAUGUUUUGAGUUGUGAUCAAAUUCUGAACGAAUCUAGCUUCCUAAUAAAAUCAUUAAGAUGCUGGACUCAUUGAAUUAAUUUCAUUGUUUUCAGAGAACCUUGACAACUGCAUAGAUUAUUUUUAAAGACAAUAAGCAUCUUUAAUGAUGCAGAUUUAUUAUUUGUGCAAAUGCAUUAAUAACAAUUCUAUUAAGCUGAUGCUUCAAUUUUGAAGUUAUU
RNAcentral lists this transfer RNA (540 nucleotides) under uncultured cyanobacterium. Its description in RNAcentral is "partial 16S-23S ribosomal RNA intergenic spacer". The stretch from base 212 to 284 matches the Rfam family "tRNA". The record is from RNAcentral. Lineage: Bacteria; Bacillati; Cyanobacteriota.